This is a long non-coding RNA of Cyprinodon tularosa, 352 nucleotides long. RefSeq lists it as uncharacterized. The record is from RefSeq and is a predicted model, not a curated record. The transcript has 3 exons. Lineage: Eukaryota; Metazoa; Chordata; Actinopteri; Cyprinodontiformes; Cyprinodontidae.
AUUUUGUUUGAUGUAAAAGACAUAAUGGCAAAUGUCCACGCAAAACUACAAACCCAAGAGGACAAAAAGGUUAACACUUUUUUGAAGACUAAAAUAAUGAAUCUGGAGACGGAAAAAAGAGAGCUGGUUGGAGUCUUUGGGAAAACCGGAGCUGGAAAGACAUCUUUGAUAAAUGCUGUCAUUGAAGAGGAAAGGCUUUUACCAUCUGGAAGUCUCAGUGCCUGUACCUCAGUCAUGAUCAAAGUGGAGGCUAACAGGCUCAACCAUAAAUAUGAGGCAGAGAUUGAGUUCAUCACAAAAGAGGAGUGGGAAGAUGAAUUGAGCAACAGAGAUCAGUUUCUUAAAGGAAUAG